GAGCCCGUAGCUCAGCGGUAGAGCAGCUCCCUUUUAAGGAGAAUGUCGCAGGUUCGAUCCCUGUCGGGCUCA
Molecule: transfer RNA, 72 nt
Filed under: Candidatus Woesebacteria bacterium
Lineage: Bacteria; Candidatus Woeseibacteriota
Description: tRNA-Lys
Rfam family: tRNA
About the family: Transfer RNA (tRNA) molecules are approximately 80 nucleotides in length.
Source: RNAcentral